This 2405-nucleotide long non-coding RNA is filed under the name Homo sapiens (human). RNAcentral describes it as "non-protein coding SNHG21:20". The record is from RNAcentral. Lineage: Eukaryota; Metazoa; Chordata; Mammalia; Primates; Hominidae.
GAGUAUACCAUUUGAUAACAGAGGAAGAGAAUGGAGUAAUGCAGCUACAAGCGAAAGUACACCAAUGAUUGCUGGCUCCCACUAGAAGCUAGGAAGAGGCAGGAAGGAUUCUAUCCAGAGUCUCAGAAGAAGCAAGACCCCACUGACAUCUUGAUUUCUGACUUCCAGACUCCAGAAAGCGAGAAAAUAUAUCUGUUGUUUUAAGCUAUCCAGUGUGAGGUACUUGGUUAUGGCAGCUUCAGAAAACUAAUACAACAGCAAUUUCAAUUUCUACUUUAUCUUCCUAGCCCCAAGAGUACCAUGUGGCUAUUAGAGUACAGGAUUAUGUAGGCUCUCAAAUCCCUUCCAUGGUAAAAGAAUGAUUGGGCUUCCAGCAGUGGCCAAGAAUUGCCAGACGCUUAUGAGCGCCUGCUGCGAGAUGCUUGUACAGUGAAUGCUCAAUAAAGUGGUGGCCAUUAUAACCGCAAGCAAUGAGACUACAUAAAUAGUAAGAAACGAAAUAGAACAAGGGGCAGCGGGAGCAAAGAGAGAAACAAGGGCAGCUGAGGAAGGAAGCCUCAAUUCCCCGGAGGACAUCCGCGGGCGGAGGAAAUGUGAAUCUGCAAGUCGUUCUCCCAGACCCCGCUUAACGAUUCCCGGCCCUUUCUCCACUCCCUACAGCCCUCGGACCCAGCAACAACCGGAUCCUGUGCAGGUCUUCCCUGAGUCCAACGCGAUUCUCCUGGAUAACGUCAACCAGCUGAGCGAUUCUGAGCCUGCGCGAAGCUCCUCGGCGCUUCCAGUAAUGUCACGCUGGUGCGUGGGGCGGGACUUCCUCUCACGCGCAGGAAACGAGAAGGGCUUUUCCGCCGGAAAGAGAGUGGAUUUACUAGGAAGGUGGGACGUUGGAGGGGUGGCCGCAUGGAGUGAGUACUGUCUCUGGCCACCGAGCAGAGCCAGUGACAGCAGCGUCCUGGUAGGCAGGCAGGCGUAUCAGGUUUCAGAGGAUGCGGCUGGGAACGGGAGUAGAGGUGAGGGGUCGUUGCAUCUGUCGCGGUGUGUAUCUUUUGGGGGUUCAGCGCCACCAGCGACUUGGGCCUCAUUCAUCGCGCUUACAUUUCUCCACCUCAUUUGAAGAACGAGCUUCGUAGCCCACGGAGCUGAGGUAUAUGAGCUCCCUGAAAGCACAAAGCAGUUAUUUCCAUCUUCAGAUCAUUCAGAGAUUAUGAAGGCACAAACCCUGCCUUCAAUUUGCUUAUAGUCAAGUGGAGCAGACACAAGUCAAUGAUUGCAGUAUAGCCACUGAAGUAAUCUAAAAGAGGUGGGGAGGCCACAGCUUAUGUGAAUGACUUUCUCAGGAGUUAUAAAGUGAUACAGACUUAUCAGCAGGUUGCAGGUGAACAUGGCCUUGAGAUGUUUUCUUCUAAAUAAAUGAGAAAGAUGUUUCAACAAAGGCUCUUUAUGCUGAAUAAUUGUGAUGCUUGAAGUUGCUAAUCUGCUUUAAGUGGAUUUUAAAUGUCAGGCAAUUCUAGACAGUUUUUUCUUGGUCAAAUAAAAAUUUAAUUAAAACUUUAUACGUGUUGAGUUUUUAAUCCAUUUAUCCGUGUUCAUACUAACGUGUAGUAUUCCAUAAAGCCUAUUAGAACCCUGAAUUCAAACUUGCCUUCUCUGUGAUAUCCUGUUUCUUACUUGGUAGUUUCUAUUUCAGUAGCUGAGAACUUUUUUUUUUUUUUUUUUUGAGAUGGAGUCUUGAUCUGUGAGCCAUCUCGGCUCACUGCAAGCUCCACCUCCCGGGUUCACGCCAUUCUCCUGCCUCAGCCUCCCGAGUAGCUGGGACUACAGGCGCCCGCCACCAGUCCCGGCUAAUUUUUUUGUAUUUUUAGUAGAGACGGGGUUUCACCGUAUUAGCCAGGAUGGUCUCGAUCUCCUGACCUUGUGAUCCAUCCACCUUGGCCCCCCAAAGUGCUGGGAUUACAGGCGUGAGCCACCGCGCCCGGCCGAGAACAUUUUUAAAUAUACAUGAUAUGUAUCUUUUAAUUGUUUAUAACUGGAACUAUUUCUGUGCUUACAUCUGCUGUCCCUUGUUUCAGAGUAGACAGUCCAGCUUGGCAGGAUAGGUGUGUGUGUGUAUAACGAGUUAUUAAAUUGUCAGUGUGAAUUGUUAAUUCAGGAAUCUGAGCUGCCAUUUAUACGAGUAGGCAGAGUUUAGUAGGAGAUGAGAGUCUUUCAGUUUGUCAGACUUUGCAGGUGCUGGAAAACAUCAGAGGUUUUUUGUUUGUUUGUUUGUUUGUUUUUGAGACAGAGUUGCGCUCUUGUUGCCAAGGCUGGAGUGCAGUGGCACAAUCUCGGCUCACUGCAGCCUCUGCCCCCGGGUUCAAGCAAUUCUCCUGCCUCAGCCUCCUGAGUAGCUGGGAUUACAGGCGCCC